GGGCCGCCUCCCUGCUCUCUCCCGGCGUCUGGCCGCAGCGCCGGCUCCAGGUUUCCCCUCCCAGCGUGGGGUGGCAGCCUGGAGAGGCAUCUGCAGAAACCACGCGAGCCCCGGGGAGGAGAGCCCAUGGUGCACACAUAGGCGCGUGUCGGGGACCCCAAGCCCCUGGGCCCCGGGCACACUCGCAGAACCGCUGCAGGGACGUGGCCCAAGCUGGAAUUGCCCUGCGCACAGGCCAGGACCUUUGGGAGCAGCGACUGUCGAGAUAAGGUCAACGGCGGGCCCGCGGUGACUCAGCUCCCCUUGGCCCCGAGGAAGCUCGGCUGGCCCGGGGGGGCGGGGCCUGCGACGCUCCGCCCCCUGCUCCGGCUCCCGGAAGGCGCCCCACACCACCCCCAGCUUCCCAGAGGCGCCCAGAUUUCCCACGGGUUUUCCUGGUGGUGUCGUAACGAGCCCGGCCCUUUCGGAGCGUCCCAGGGCCCCGAGUCAGCUCCCUGUGACGGGACACAUGAGGAUCUGAGCGCCGCACGCUCCCUGACUGUGUGUGUGCGUGUGGUAAGGACAGGGCCAGACCCUCUGAGGCUUCCUCCCACCCCACUUCCUGUUUCAUCCAGAUGCCAACAUCCACGUGGACUAAUCUGCCGAGAUCAUUCCUGACCUCCAGCAUCACAAUUUCCAAACCUGCUCAGUGUUCCCCAGCUUCUCCUGCCUGACUCGCUGCAAGGUCAGAGAGCCUCUGACAUCUUAGCCUCCUACGUCACAUUAAAGGCCUCAGUGUCCCCUUUCUAGGUUCUGGGCCUCCCUCCACUCCUGCUCUUGAACCUUAACAAUGACUUUUUUUGUGUAUCGGACUGGGGAUUGAGUUACAGCCCAGCCCAUGUUUUAUUCUGAGACAGGGCCCUGCUAAAUUGCUAGUUCCAGGCUAGGCUGGAACUUGCUCUGAUCCUCCUGCUUCAGCCUCCCCAGUGUUCGGAUUACAGGCAUGCACCACCACGUCUGUCAUCAACAACCUUCUGUCCCGACUCAUUUGGAUCAUCUGGACAACCAACCACUUUCUCCAGCCCUAUGUUAGUUAAAGUCAUGCUAUUUGCUAAAACAAACACAUCCCAAACUGUGUAUCAGCUCAACCUAGUUCAUUUCCGGAUUGCAGAACGCUUCUGAGCAGGGAUGCCCGUCCUCCAGGUGAUGAUCCAGGAGCCGGGCUCCGCCAUCUCCAACGUGUGCUUUCCAGGGCUGUCAGGCCGGUGGCUUAGCAGCAGCAGAAAUUUAUUUCCCUUGGUUCAGGGGGCCAAAAGUCUGAGAUCAAGAUACCAACAUGCUCAGGCCCCGGGGGGCCCCUCCUCUGAGCUUCAGACUGCAAACUCCUCCUUGUGUCUCACUUAGGAAGAGACAAGCAGCUCGCUGGCUUCAUUCUACAGGUACAAUCUCAACCCAAAGGCUCUGCCCUUGGGUCCCAAUUACCUCCUAAUACUCCCCCUCCAAAUACUUUUACAGUGGGGGCUUGGGGAGGACACAAAAGUUCAGUCCAUAAAGGCGCAUCAGACUGGACGGAGGGGAAGGGCAGGGUGCAGAAGACACAGCUGCUGGUUCACUGCCCUGGCUGGGAGUGACAUCUCAUUCCUGGUCACCGUGCCAUCAGCAAGACAUCCGGGGCGUCCUGACUCCUCUGAAAGUCACAGGUGUGUGGGGAGUGUGGUGUUCUGGGAAGCCCUUGCUGGCCAGCCUCAGCUGCAGUGUGUGGACAGGUGGGGUGGUACUUUCGGGUGAAGUCAGUUCUCUCUGCUCCAUUCCCUUCCCUUCCCUCCACCACACCCUCCCACCAAGGCCCAGCCCAUACUACAAGUCAGUCAACCUCCCUGAUGGAAUCCUUUGUCCUGGAGAAAGCUGGAGGUGGACAUAUCGGUGCAGAUGAAGAUUUAGGACCCUGAAGCCAGCGAGGCUCUGCAUUGCUGGUACCAGGGAUCGAACUCGGGACUUUGUGCUUUCGAGGCAGGUGGCGGCACCACUGAGCUACAUCCCCGGCCUGUGGGCUCCGAUUCUCAUUUCCCACAAGUUUCUUAAUACCCCUGCUGGCCCAGCCCCUGCCCCAGCCUCACUCAGCACAGGAGAACUUAGGGGCCAGAAUGCUAAGAUGCCCCAGUGCCCCCCCCGCCCCCGGAGCAUGUCCAGCCUUGCACCCUGGCCUCUCCCCAGGCUUCAGACCCGCGUCUCCUGCUGCCUCCAGGACACUUCCACCUGGAUCCCCCAGCUCUUCCAUAGGGGACGGGUGUCAGCACCCAGCCCACCUCUCCCGUGGUGUUUUUUCCUGUGAUGGUGACACCCUCAUCCCAACUGGAAACUUGAGGGGCAUCCUUGUCUUGUUUCUCAGAUUAAACUCUGGCCGAACUUUUUUGGUUUUCUUUUUGGUGGUACUGGGGGCUACAUUCGGGUCCUUCACACUGAGCUACAUCCCCAGCCCUUUUUAUUUUUUACUUUGAGACAGAGUCCUCUUAAGUCACUAAGUUGCCCAGGCUGGGUACGAACUUGCCAUCCUCCUGUCUCAGCCUCCCAGCAUGCUGGGAUUACGUAUGUGGAGCACCAUACCCAGCUCCAGGACAUUUCUUUUUAAUUCUUUUUUUUUUUUUUUUUUUUGGUGUUGGGGAUGGAACUCAGGACCUUGCGCUUGUGAGGCAGGCUUGGUGCCACUGAGCUGAAUCCCUGGCCCUUCCAAGACAUUUCUGAAGUCGGUUUCCUCUGCUCCUUUCCUGGGUUCCCACCUCAGCGCUUGCAGUCAUGGCAGCAGCGGCCGCCUCAAGUUCUUUAAGCCUCCAGUCCGUGGCUUCUCCAGCAGCAGCCACCGUGACUGUUCUGGACCAGCCCCUCACUCAACGUUCCAGAAACACCCAGCUCUCUUCUGGAUGUGUCCACAGGACCUGGGCCCCACGAGGGGAACGCAGCUGGGCCUCCCAAGGUCCUUCUCCCCAGACCACCCUCUGCUCUCCUGGCUGUGCUGACCACCGCCCUCGACAAAGCCUUUGCAUGCCUGCCUCCAGCACCAGGGGGCAGGAAGAGCUCACGGUGGAGCUCAGCGCCUGGUACAUGGCUUAGCAUCCAGUAGGUGCUCAAUGCAUGCUCCCUGAAUAGGUGAAGAGGGGGAGAAGGUACCCGUUUGAGAGAUGGAAAACCUUUAUUUGGAUCUGCUUGCCUUAUGCCAUCCUGCCUCGUGCUGAAUGAACAUUUCCUGCUCCUGCUCAGCAGAGCCAAA
Long non-coding RNA from Heterocephalus glaber (naked mole-rat), 3244 nucleotides. RefSeq lists it as uncharacterized. Lineage: Eukaryota; Metazoa; Chordata; Mammalia; Rodentia; Bathyergidae. The record is from RefSeq and is a predicted model, not a curated record.